RNAcentral lists this ribosomal RNA (510 nucleotides) under uncultured bacterium. RNAcentral's name for it is "bacterial SSU rRNA". It matches the Rfam family "Bacterial small subunit ribosomal RNA", at positions 17 to 518 of the family's 1533-position model. The record is from RNAcentral.
UUAUGGCUCAGGAUGAACGCUAGCUACAGGCUUAACACAUGCAAGUCGAGGGGCAGCAUUGGAGUAGCAAUACUCAGAUGGCGACCGGCGCACGGGUGAGUAACACGUAUCCAACCUGCCGCUUACUCGGGGAUAGCCUUUCGAAAGAAAGAUUAAUACCCGAUGGUAUAAAGAGUUCGCAUGUUCUCUUUAUUAAAGAAUUUCGGUAAGCGAUGGGGAUGCGUUCCAUUAGAUAGUUGGCGGGGUAACGGCCCACCAAGUCUACGAUGGAUAGGGGGUUCUGAGAGGAAGGUCCCCCACAUUGGAACUGAGACACGGUCCAAACUCCUACGGGAGGCAGCAGUGAGGAAUAUUGGUCAAUGGACGAGAGUCUGAACCAGCCAAAGUAGCGUGAAGGAUGACUGCCCUAUGGGUUGUAAACUUCUUUUAUAAGGGAAUAAAGUGAGGGACGUGUCCCUUUUUGUAUGUACCUUAUGAAUAAGGAUCGGCUAACUCCGUGCCAGCCGCCGC